CAGCGAGCAGGGCCCGCUGUUUUGCAAACCUCUCCUGGGGUCCCAGCGCCUUGUCUGUUUUCGCCAUCUUCUUUAUGCAGGUGCCCAGCCUCCCAGGAGGAAGAUAACGCUGAGGAGUGAACAGAAAGGAUUUUCCUGCGCCCACUCGGAAUGCAGAGAAGAAUCCUGUGGAAAAUCCAAAUGGCAUCCACGGACCAAGAAAUUAUUCGAGAAACAGAUGACGUGCUCUGGACUCAUGAUCUCUAGCUGAUGGUGUGAGGCUGAAACAAACCCUGACGGCUGUCACCCACGAUGAGUAAAGGUGGAUCCCAGCGCCUCUGCAGCGAAGGCGCGCUCCUCGAGCACCUGCUCGCUCCCCUCCCCCACCGCCUUCAGGAAUGAGAGAGGAGGCAGCAGGCCCAGGGCGCGAGCUGGGAGCUGGCCCUGGAACCGCAGGUGACCUUCCACUCUUCAGGUGCUCAGACCACCUGAAGCACCUGCCUCCUCUUCUGCUCCCUCUCCCCAUCCUGCCUCACUUCCCAUGGCCUCCUUCAUUCCAGCCAUUCUGGAGAACACCUCCCUACUUGCCCCCAGCCAUGAUACUUCAGAGAUGAGCACCAAGACGACAAACCUCCUUCAUAUUAAUGUUUAUUGUUAGAUAUUGGCUCCCAACUAAACAAAAAUAUAAUUUCUCUGUACCUACUGUUUGGAGCAACGGGCAAGAAACGAAAGCCUCACACCCCCACCCCAUCCCAUCCCCUCCCCUUUGUGAAGCAGAAGACAAGCACGUGCUUGUGCUCAGAAGCCUGAGAUAUCUCCUGUUGCUUGGUCACAUCCCUGGGCUGGAACCAUAAUCCUGGCAAGAUCCAGCACUCCUCUCACUCAACACCACACCUGUGCUGCUGAACUUGGCUGAGGGAAACGAAGGCAGCCUCUGGAUGAGGCUUGCUGUAAAUGUGUGAGCAUUCACUUCCGCAGGCUGGUUGCACUGUCUUACCCCAGAUGGUUAUGAGCACCCCCUCCCUCCUUUGUUCCUGCUUCUAUUUCCUCCAGCUUCACUCCCAACUGGAGACUUGGCUUCAGACAUCACUGCAAAAAAAUAAAAAAAUAAAA
Molecule: long non-coding RNA, 1092 nt
Organism: Nyctereutes procyonoides (raccoon dog)
Lineage: Eukaryota; Metazoa; Chordata; Mammalia; Carnivora; Canidae
Exons: 3
Source: RefSeq, a predicted model, not a curated record